Molecule: ribosomal RNA, 253 nt
Filed under: uncultured bacterium
Lineage: Bacteria
Description: partial 16S ribosomal RNA
Rfam family: Bacterial small subunit ribosomal RNA
Source: RNAcentral
UACGUAGGGUGCAAGCGUUAAUCGGAAUUACUGGGCGUAAAGCGUGCGCAGGCGGUUCGUUGUGUCGGCGGUGAAAGCCCCGGGCUCAACCUGGGAAUGGCCGUUGAAACUGGCGAACUGGAGUGUGGCAGAGGGGGGUGGAAUUCCGCGUGUAGCGGUGAAAUGCGUAGAUAUCAGGAGGAACACCGGUGGUGUAGACGGCUCUCUGGACCGUAACUGACGCUGAGGCACGAAAGCGUGGGUAGCAAACAGG